AGAGUUUGAUCAUGGCUCAGAGCGAACGCUGGCGGCAGGCUUAACACAUGCAAGUCGAGCGGGCGUAGCAAUACGUCAGCGGCAGACGGGUGAGUAACGCGUGGGAACGUACCUUUUGGUUCGGAACAACCCAGGGAAACUUGGGCUAAUACCGGAUAAGCCCUUACGGGGAAAGAUUUAUCGCCGAAAGAUCGGCCCGCGUCUGAUUAGCUAGUUGGUGAGGUAAUGGCUCACCAAGGCGACGAUCAGUAGCUGGUCUGGGAGGAUGAUCAGCCACAUUGGGACUGAGACACGGCCCAAACUCCUACGGGAGGCAGCAGUGGGGAAUAUUGGACAAUGGGCGCAAGCCUGAUCCAGCCAUGCCGCGUGAGUGAUGAAGGCCCUAGGGUUGUAAAGCUCUUUUGUGCGGGAAGAUAAUGACGGUACCGCAAGAAUAAGCCCCGGCUAACUUCGUGCCAGCAGCCGCGGUAAUACGAAGGGGGCUAGCGUUGCUCGGAAUCACUGGGCGUAAAGGGUGCGUAGGCGGGUCUUUAAGUCAGGGGUGAAAUCCUGGAGCUCAACUCCAGAACUGCCUUUGAUACUGAAGAUCUUGAGUUCGGGAGAGGUGAGUGGAACUGCGAGUGUAGAGGUGAAAUUCGUAGAUAUUCGCAAGAACACCAGUGGCGAAGGCGGCUCACUGGCCCGAUACUGACGCUGAGGCACGAAAGCGUGGGGAGCAAACAGGAUUAGAUACCCUAGUAGUCC
This 744-nucleotide ribosomal RNA is filed under the name uncultured bacterium. RNAcentral describes it as "bacterial SSU rRNA". It matches the Rfam family "Bacterial small subunit ribosomal RNA", at positions 8 to 796 of the family's 1533-position model. The record is from RNAcentral.